UUAGCACGCUCUGCUGAGGAAUGCCUCGCUGCACUGGCCAGUUAAAGCACUUCCUGUUGAACACGACUGAUUAGAACGGCUGGUUUAGCACAGCAGAGGUGGGGUUGUGAAGGAGUCUCCAGGAAGCAGCUCUGCUUGCUGGUUGGUUUGGAUCAUGGUUUAAAACUCUUGAUUGAAGGAUUUUUAAACAUGCCUACUGAGGACAGAGAUGGCAUAAAUAGUUGCAGAAAGAGCUGAUACUGGGGAAACAUCUGUAUUUGGCAGGCGGCGUGAGGUUGAGUCUCUCCAAAGAGUCGCUGCACUCCUCGUCUAGAACAUAAUCGAAGUUCAAGAUGAACAUCAUCACAACUCCUUCCUCGUUCUUCACUGGGAUGAUCAGGAGAAGGUGAGAUUGAAGGAGUGAUGGCAGCUUUCAUUACCGACAAAACCCUCUCCAGCUCCAACAACCUCUAAGAGACAAACAACGUGAAAAGAGAGAGAGACAGCGGCCCCCGUCCUGAGCUGGUGGGUGUGAUCACGGAUAAAUGCGCUGAAUCAGACCCAGAGGUCAGAGGUCAAAGGUCACAGCCUGUGCUUCUCUCUGCAGGCUUAGCUCUGUUCAGCUGCCCUUAUUCUGCAGCGGCGGGACUUAGCAGCCCGUGACAGGCCCUGCGGCACAAUGAAUCUGUCCACAUGGACUCCAUGUCUUUUCUUUUUUUAGUCCAAUCCAUCCUUAUCUCCUGCUCAUUGAGUUCACUCCCAAAGCCCCUUUGGUGAUGAAAGGAUACAAAAAUGCUCAUAUCUGCUGCACUGAAGGAUUAUUCAAAUGUUUGGGUGUUUGUGUGAAAGAUUGUGAGGGAUAGUA
Long non-coding RNA from Cyprinus carpio (common carp), 844 nucleotides. RefSeq lists it as uncharacterized. NCBI's taxonomy places the organism in Eukaryota, Metazoa, Chordata, Actinopteri, Cypriniformes, Cyprinidae. The record is from RefSeq and is a predicted model, not a curated record. The transcript has 4 exons.